RNAcentral lists this non-coding RNA (120 nucleotides) under Desulfuromonadales bacterium. Its description in RNAcentral is "MoCo sequence". It matches the Rfam family "Molybdenum/Tungsten riboswitch aptamer (Moco RNA motif)". The record is from RNAcentral. Lineage: Bacteria; Pseudomonadati; Thermodesulfobacteriota; Desulfuromonadia; Desulfuromonadales.
AACCUUAAUCAUCUCCGAGCCUGCCGACCUAAAGAUAACAGCUCCAAGGUCGAGGGCCUACGGGUCUCGCUGGAAACGGCGGGGCCUCCCGUAUUGGAAAGGAGAGUUCUUCCUCGCCGA